CCUUCGGGACAGAGGUGACAGGUGGUGCAUGGUUGUCGUCAGCUCGUGUCGUGAGAUGUUGGGUUAAGUCCCGCAACGAGCGCAACCCCUAUUGUUAGUUGCCAUCAUUCAGUUGGGCACUCUAGCGAGACUGCCGGUAAUAAACCGGAGGAAGGUGGGGAUGACGUCAAAUCAUCAUGCCCCUUAUGACCUGGGCUACACACGUGCUACAAUGGUUGGUACAACGAGUCGCAAGCCGGUGACGGCAAGCUAAUCUCUUAAAGCCAAUCUCAGUUCGGAUUGUAGGCUGCAACUCGCCUACAUGAAGUCGGAAUCGCUAGUAAUCGCGGAUCAGCACGCCGCGGUGAAUACGUUCCCGGGCCUUGUACACACCGCC
Molecule: ribosomal RNA, 376 nt
Filed under: uncultured Streptococcus sp.
Lineage: Bacteria; Bacillati; Bacillota; Bacilli; Lactobacillales; Streptococcaceae
Description: bacterial SSU rRNA
Rfam family: Bacterial small subunit ribosomal RNA
Source: RNAcentral